CGCACAUUGCGCCCCUUGGUAUUCCGGGGGGCAUGCCUGUUCGAGCGUCAUUAUCACCCCUCAAGCUCAGCUUGGUGUUGGGGCCUGCCCGUCACAGGGCAGCCCCUAAAAGCAGUGGCGGCGCCAUCUGGCUCUACGCGUAGUAAUGCACCUCGCGAUGGAGUCCCGGUGGUGUCCUGCCAGAACCCCAAAUCUUUCAAUGAUUGACCUCGGAUCAGGUAGGGAUACCCGCUGAACUUAA
This 241-nucleotide unclassified non-coding RNA is filed under the name Articulospora sp. Its description in RNAcentral is "partial contains 5.8S ribosomal RNA, internal transcribed spacer 2, and large subunit ribosomal RNA". Lineage: Eukaryota; Fungi; Ascomycota; Leotiomycetes; Helotiales; Discinellaceae. The record is from RNAcentral.